AUGACUCGUGCCUGGGGCUGCCCACAGCUAAGGGGCAACUUGAAAUCACAGCACACAUUUAAACCCGAAAGUUUAAAAAGGAAACCAAAAUCAAUGAAUUUUAGAAAAUAUGCAAAGAUAGCCUCCAGGAAUCCUGCUGCCCUCCAGGCGUGGGCAGCCUCCGAGGACUCCUCUGAAAUGACCCACGGCAAGGAGAGGGGCAGGAGAAAAAACUGCACUGCAGAAUGUGGACGGCCCUCCACUCGGGGAAGGGGUCACGUCCUUGAAGCGGGGCCCUCGGUUACCCGGAGCCUCCUAGAAAGUCUCUCCCUCCCCCUACCGUUCAUGGUAUCUUUAGAAUCAAGGCUACAAACUGCAUGAAUAGCGCGUAAUUCAAUUAACUCUAUAGUCUGAGAUGAAAAAAGGGCCAUUUUGCUAGCUCGAGUGGAGCACUAGUUUAACCCUGGCGCUCAGGAAAUUCCCAGGCCAGACAGCAUAUUAAACCAGCUCUUCAACUUAAGAACAAUUACUGUCAUUUAUCAGCCUGAAUAGCAAUAAUGCACAAAUCGACAGCUUUCAGGAGGCAAAAAGCUAGCUAGGUGUAAUGAUAUGCAAAGCCACAGCACUCUGCAUUUUGAACUGUCUCCAUCCCAUCAAUACAUCUCCUACUACCUACAAUUUAUCAAUACAAAUGUGGUGCCCAAUGAAGGCAGGACCAAGAAGAUAAAUAUGAACGGGGUGAGGGGGGGGGAAAGGCUCAGGAAUGUUUGAAUUUUAAAAUGAUGAAGUACAGAUCACAUUCUUAAAGCAUUUUACAUGCAAUGACCCGAUCACAUCAAGUUCUCUUCUGAAAGGGGAAAGAGAAUAAGGGGAUUUUUCUACUCCAAGGUUGCAGGUAGAUGCAGCUUUUAUUUCCCUCUGUGUUCCCAGAUCAUGUCUUUCACAGAAGGAUGUGAUCAUUUAGGGACUUAAUAAUAAAAGGAAUAACGAGAAUGCUAAUCACAGUGAUGAAUUUGCAUAGAGCCUUUUUCCUAAUUCCUUUCACAUCUAUCACUUCAUUUUAAUUGCAUAAUAUCUGGAAGAGGUAAGAAGAUAAAUAUGAUUAAAUCCCUUUUGAAAGAAAGGGAAACAGAGGUAUGGUGGGAGUUUGAGACACCUCCAUCCCCCUCCCUCAGGGCUCAAAUCAGAGUCCCAACUCCCAGGCCAUCCAGGGCAAGUCACAGCACACCCAUGGCAAGACCAGGCUGCCCGGAAGGGCUGGGGAGGGUUCGAGAACUCUAAAACCCAAAGAGAGUGGAUGCCAGUAGAAAGGGGAGCCAUGGGGGUGGAGCAAGGUGGAGGCAAUGGAAUUGCAAAUUUCAAAACCAGACACAUGGCAUCCCAGGGCUGCAGCACGCAGUGACUGAGCCCCUACUGGGUGCCAGGCACUGGGGGAAGUGGGGACAAAGUCACUGCUGCCCCAGGCCCUGCUCACGGUCCCUGCUGCUCGCACAUCCACCACACCCUGACUUUUGACUGAAGAGCAUCACCUAGCCUGAGAGAGUAAGUUCCUUAACGGCGAAAGAAGUUAGAGAGGGUGGUAUCCAAGAUGGAAAACAUGCCUACACAAGCGAUGGGGACCGUUGCCUCUGGGAGCUUUGGAUACAAGUCAGGCAAACUAGGCCCCCACAGCCUGGUGCUGAUGAAAUUCUGGGGGUUGUUAGCACUGUAGUCACUUGUAUCCUUCACCUGCCAAUUAUGCCACAGACUCAUUCAGGCCUCCCAGCGGGUCCAUCACAGGGACUCAUCAUCUCAGCCCUGAUAUCGUGCAAGGGCCUCUAACUCUGACAUGCAAACUCUUGGCCUUUCGAUAACAUUUUU
Molecule: long non-coding RNA, 1839 nt
Filed under: Sus scrofa (pig)
Lineage: Eukaryota; Metazoa; Chordata; Mammalia; Artiodactyla; Suidae
Description: lncRNA (ENSSSCG00005036585.1)
Source: RNAcentral